This is a long non-coding RNA of Betta splendens (Siamese fighting fish), 2806 nucleotides long. RefSeq lists it as uncharacterized. The record is from RefSeq and is a predicted model, not a curated record. The transcript has 4 exons. Lineage: Eukaryota; Metazoa; Chordata; Actinopteri; Anabantiformes; Osphronemidae.
AUAAUGUGAAUCUUUUCACUAUAAACAGACAAGCAUAGUCUGUCAGCCGUUCGGGAAGGUGACAGAUAAAUACCAGCGCCUCUCUGUGCGUCAUUGCGUCAUCACUAGAAUCCCAUGUGAUUGGCCGUAAUUUAAAAACACCUGUACCGGAAGCGCGGCAGUCGUGGCUAAAUUCAAUUUAGCGUGAAGUUGAAAACAUGGUUGGCGUCAUGAUUUGGUGUGUGGAACAUUAUUUAUUCCUCAUUCAGUCCCACUCUACAAUAUUCUGAAGACUUGUAGGCUGGCAUCGAUGCCAAGCGUGCUUCCUCCUCUUCAACCUGCAGACGGACAGAGGGGCAUAAGAAGGCUGUAACUGGAGGUGAAGCAGGUGCAGAGAAAGCCAUCUUGGAUUUCGUUUCUUUACCUGACAAGAUACAUUACCCGUUUGCAUUCCUCUUGCAUUUACAACGUGAAUCCAGUGCCCCUCCCUCUGCUUGAGAGGCAGAGGUGUCCCCGCCUUGACAGGGCAGCAGUGAGGACAGACCAUGCCCGAAGAAAAGAGGAAAGCAGGUGGAGAUGAAGCGAGGAAGAGAAACAGAUGUGCGUUAAAGAGUUUGCAUGAAGAAAGGAGGUCUCGUUUGAGCAGAGACAUGUUUCUUUAAGAUUUAGGUGAACUGUUAAUUUACUUCAAGGUUAAAAGCUCACAACUUUCCACAGUUGAAAUUUUGAUGUACACUUUCAGACGGCACAAUCCAGGGCAGCGCACACUUAAGGAAAUGGCUGAACACUAAACCAGUUCUCGAAGUAAUUGAAGCCCAACAUCAUUAAUUUGUAAUGUAUUUAGGGACUAGUGCAGGGUUAAUUAAUUUUUACCCAAGGAGUGUGCUCUGUAUUAAUUAUAAUGUCACUACAAUAAGUAUAAGCAAAGCUUUCACUGGGAAAAUGAUUUUAUAAUAAGAGCAGAUGUUUUAUUGAGUUUAGAACCAGAAUACAAAAGUAGGAAAUGAAGCGAAACAAAGGAUGGAGAAGGAGUCAAAUCAAGUUGGGGAACUCACUUCCUGAUGAGGAAGAUGGGCGUCUCUGGUCGGAGGAGUUGGUAAUGGCAUUGCUCUGGGUGGUUGGCGUCUCCGGGGGCAACGGAGGAGGCGGAGGGGGUGUUGACACUGGGUUGCUAGGGGGAAGAGGGGGCGGAGGAGGCGGAGGUGGGGGUGGGACUGAUUGCUCCGUGGCACCAUUCUCAGAGCUGUGGGCCGGGCCGUCGGUAGGCUCCUCCAACAACGCAGAGCCCUGGUCAGGGACAGACAAGGAGUCACUUUAUACACAUCAUCUUCAUUUAGUCGUCUUUCCAAGUUUUUUUUUUCUACAAACCAAAUUCCUGUGUUACUGUGUUGACCAAUAUUUGAAUGCUGCUAACUGAGCUCAUGCAGUCAUGCUUUAACUACAUGACUUUAAAAAUAAUAAUACAAAUAAUAUUAAUAAUAAUAAUUUUUCAUUGCAUUUUUAAUAAGUGGAUGGUUUUAUAAAUAAUCAAGAUUUGCUUUGUAUAAAGAAAUUCUUAGAUAUUGACAGUGAGCUUGUUCUCUCCAUGUAAUGGCAUGCCAGCUGAAGCUCCUGCUGGCUGAGCAAGCGUUACAUUCUUGCACACAGUCAGCAGUGACAGAUGUACGCAGCCCUGUUAGAUCCCUCUGCCACUUGGCAAUGUAAUCAACUCAUAAGACAUAAUGCCCUGUUGCUAAUAACAGAGCCAAUAUGACCUAAUCUCAAGGGAGCAACUCUGAGGGAAAACCGUGUCAAGAAGCCAUCUGCCACUGCAAGUGAUAGGGCUUUAACCCCCGCGCCUUAACCCCCCCCCCCAUCCCGACCUGCACGCGUCUGACACGCUCUGAAAGCAUGCCAGACCUCUGCUGGAAGCCAGUUAAUGGACCGUGACAUUUAACUCCACCCCGCCCUCCUUUAUUCCUCAGACGUGUGCUCAUCAUUGUCGCCCCCUUUUCUUUCCAAACCCCCCAGAGAGUUGGGGAGAGGGCUGUGUCCAGAUGGGUGUUAGCAGCACGUGCCAUUGCUUCUGCUGAUUAGCGGAUCCAUCUGCUAGGGCGCCUUUGAGACCAGGAGGGGCUCCACUGAGGCCUUAAUUGGCUCAAUGUGGAUUAUACCCAAUAUCACACAGAACACCCCCACCCCUGAUACCCAUGAGAUUAUGAGAACCGCUCUCCUGGGACACUGAUGAGUCUCUUAAAAGGCCAAUUCUUCUGGUGGCAGGUGGGAACAAAUGGAUAGUUAAACUAGUAUUCAUGAGGAAUACAUGAAGUCACAAACAGUGACUCAGUGACAGUGGAGGAGGAAAUUACAAAUAUUUUGAAUGCAGUGAAGGAAAUGAACUCUUUCACUUUGUAUAGCUUUUUCCAGGUACAGUUCCAAACAUUCAAAUCAAAAUUAUAACCAACAGCACAGUCAGGAUAAGCUUUACCAGCUUUAAGGAUAAAAAUAUCCUUUAGCUAAAAUAUAAAAUUUGGUUAAUUGACACCUGCUUUCAUGUUAGAUUGUCCCGAGUUUAUCCUGGUGUUGGCUCUGUAGAAAGAUUGUACAGAGACUGAAAGGAAUGGAAAUGAGGGGGCAGUUUGCAUCAGGUGGCAAACAAAAGCUCAAAGGUUAUGUAGGAUUAUGUAACAUGCUGAAUGGAAUAAUGCACAGGCAAAUAGUCCAGUCAUCAUUAUUGUAACCUAAUGCCAAGAGACACCCAGUCAAACUGAAAAAUGACCUUAUAUGGAGCUGAUGUGCCCACACAACCGAAAGGAUUAAAAGGAAAAACAGCCCAGUCAUAAACUAU